CUGUUCAGAAGAUGUUCUUGAUUGUAGAGGAGAGGAAUCUAUAAGAAAACGACAACGAUGGGGUUCUUUCAGGGCCUUAGGCACAGACAGAAAAAGAGAUGUCCAUCUUCAGAAGGUUAACUGGGGACAAUUCUCUGGACUUUGGAUAUUAUGCUGUACAUUCAGGAACUGAACUGAACUCUAAAGCAUCACUAUUUAUUGGAAUAUGUUGCUGUAAAAUUAUUUAGUGUGUAGAGAAGCUUUGGAUCACUUUUUAUUCACAUUAGAUUCUUUUUGACUGCACUGAUAUUUCUCUACACUUCAGUGCCUUUAACUUAAGUAGUUGGUACAGAAACCAAUUUACAUCCAAGAAAAGACAUUAGCAAAAAGAUGGAGACCAAUGGUUUUGUGUUCGAGUCAGUGCACAUAGCUGAAACUAAUUUAUUUCUGUGAUGGGACAUGCUGUCAGCCAAGACACAUGUACUAUAUUUAUAGUAUGUUUAUUCAAAGCAGCAGUCACAGCAGAAAUGAAAUCAUUUAGCCAUUGCAGAACCAACAGGCUUCAAAUACAGCUUUCACACAUUUCAUUUUGCUUAGUUUCUAAUCAAUACUGAGAACAAUAUUCUUCAACCAGAGAAUUUGCUGUAAUUAAAAUGGGAGGUGCUCUGCUCUGCAAA
Long non-coding RNA from Hemicordylus capensis (graceful crag lizard), 656 nucleotides. RefSeq lists it as uncharacterized. Lineage: Eukaryota; Metazoa; Chordata; Lepidosauria; Squamata; Cordylidae. The transcript has 3 exons. The record is from RefSeq and is a predicted model, not a curated record.